Molecule: transfer-messenger RNA, 352 nt
Filed under: Pseudomonadota bacterium
Lineage: Bacteria; Pseudomonadati; Pseudomonadota
Also listed under: 2 other names
Rfam family: transfer-messenger RNA
About the family: Bacterial tmRNA, also known as 10Sa RNA or SsrA, is named for its dual tRNA and mRNA-like properties. Its role is to liberate the mRNA from a stalled ribosome.
Source: RNAcentral
GGGGGCGAAAUGGACUCGACGGAGGUAGUGAAGCAGAAGCUGCAGGCCGAGGUCCCAUCAACCUCGUUAAACAGGUGGGAAACAAUUAACUGCAGAACCUGUUGCAGUCGCUGCCUGAUAGAAAGUGCAGCCGUCUCUUGAGGCCUUUCCUGCGGGCCUGAAGAGACGCCGACCAGCAGGAUAGUCUGCCGGGCGUGCUCAGGGCCCGGCGGAUGAAGUACCACUUGGGCUGGUUGAGCGACGCUCUUCCUCUUCGAGAAGCGCUCAACAAGAUUUACUGAAGAGGAUAAGCCUGUAGAGGCUGGCUGUGGAAUGCCUUCGGACGCGGGUUCGAUUCCCGCCGCCUCCACCA